This 25-nucleotide small RNA is filed under the name Bombyx mori (domestic silkworm). Its description in RNAcentral is "ovarian small RNA-29170". The record is from RNAcentral. Lineage: Eukaryota; Metazoa; Arthropoda; Insecta; Lepidoptera; Bombycidae.
UCGUAGGUACCUCGUUGGUACAUAU